Molecule: ribosomal RNA, 1491 nt
Filed under: Triticum aestivum (bread wheat)
Lineage: Eukaryota; Viridiplantae; Streptophyta; Magnoliopsida; Poales; Poaceae
Description: partial small subunit ribosomal RNA
Source: RNAcentral
AUGGCUUACUCCAUUCUCCUCGGGGCAGUAAUUGCGUUGCUUGUAGCUGCAGUUCUCCAACUCUUUCACAAAAACUUCUACAGGCUCUACUACUCAGCCUAUAAGCUGCCUCCUGGUAAUCUCGGCAUGCCGGUUAUCGGCAGUACUUUCUCUCUCCUCCGCGCCUGCCGCAGCAACACCGACGACCAAUGGUUCCGAGACCGGAUCAAGAAAUAUGGCCCGGUCUCUACCAUGUCGUUGUUUGGGUCGCCGACGGUGCUACUGGCCGGGCCGGCGGCGAACCACUUCAUAUUCGGCAACGACGGACUCAUCUUGACGCAGACAGGCGCGCUGAGAGCCCUCGUUGGGCGGUCGGUACUGGCACUCACGGGCAGCGAACUGAAGCUGGUCCGCAGCGCCCUGCAGGGUUACUUGAAGCCAGAAAUGGUGAGGAGAUACGUCUGCAAGAUAGACCAUGAGGUCAGGAGCCACAUCGAACUAAACUGGGUCGGUCGUGACUCUAUCACGUUGAUGAUUUUACAGGUCCUACCAAUGGUGAGGAGACUUUCGCUUGCUAUCAUAUGUUCGGUUGUCUUGGGCCAAGAGUCAGCUACCAUCAAAGAAGGACUGUGCACUGAUUUUGUUACUCUUGGGAAGGCUAUUUUAUCAUUUCCGGUAAAUAUACCAUUCACCCGGUUCAACAAAGGUAUGGCUGCAAGUGCGAAGAUACGGAAGGCUAUCACAAAUAUUGCCCACAAGAGGGAAGAGUCACUAUUGCAGGAAGCAAAUGCCACUUCUGAUAAUGACUUCAUCAGCUACAUGCUCAUUCUUCGUUCUCAAGGUGCCCACUCCCUCACUCUGGAAGACAUUGUAGACAACACGAUGGGCCUCAUCGUAGGGGCACACGAGACGACUUCUGCUCUUAUCACCUUCAUGAUCCGGUACCUCUACAAUGAGCCAGAUAUCCUUGACAAAGUUACUAGAGAGCAAGAUGAGAUUGCACAGAAUAAAAACCCAAAAGAUGCUCUAACUUGGGAUGAUGUUGCAAAGAUGAAAUAUACGUGGAAAGUGGCAAUGGAGACACUAAGAACAAUUCCUCCAGUUUUUGGGAGCUUCCGAACAACUACCAAAGACAUUGAAUACCAGGGUUACCAUAUCCCAAAAGGCUGGAAAGUCUUCGCAGCGCAAAGUGUGACACAUAUGGACUCGCAAUUCUUUCAUGAGCCUAACAAAUUCAAUCCUUCCCGGUUUGAGAAAUCCGCCCCUCCGUACUGCUACAUGCCAUUUGGAGGGGGUCCAAGAAUGUGCCCUGGUAAUGUGUUUGCAAGGGUAGAAACUAUGGUGGCCAUGCACUAUCUAGUAAGGCAGUUCAGGUGGGAAAUAACGUGUGAAAAGGAAACCUACAAGAGGGAUCCAAAGCCGACGCCCAUCCUUGGACUUCCAAUUAAACUCAAGUUGAGACCCCUUGCCAAAAACCUCCAAGUCACCACUAUGGAUACCGAAAUAGGUUAA